AAGCAUUUCCAAAUAUUUCUAUGAAAGGCGAAUGAAAAGCAACAACAAACAUGUUACUCGUGAUACAACACACCCAAUCCCCACACUUGGCUCAUGAUUCACAUAUUCAUGCCUCAUGAAUUCACGCCCAACAACAAGACCGUGUUCAGGAAAAAUCAUAAACAAACUAUAAUUCCUUAACCAAGAUCAUGGAAUAUAUAAUCAUCAGAGCAACCUUAUGUUCCAGAC
This 228-nucleotide long non-coding RNA is filed under the name Lathyrus oleraceus (garden pea). RNAcentral's name for it is "Pisum sativum (pea) long non-coding RNA (PSAT_LNC031642)". The record is from RNAcentral. Lineage: Eukaryota; Viridiplantae; Streptophyta; Magnoliopsida; Fabales; Fabaceae.